CAUAUCAUUUCCGGUUGUUGGUGUGCCGUGAGAUUUUUUCUGUGUCUUAAGUGUGCCUUGACGCAAAAAAGGUUGAAAAACACUGAGCUAGAGGGCUGAUUAGCAACAGCAGAUACUUUUAUAGAAAUGCAAUAUAUGUCUCUCUGUAAUUCUUAAAAAAGCAAAGUCAUCCGGCGGCCCGCAUUGGACCCCCCCACGCUCUACAUGUUUAUGUCUUCAUGUGGAAUCUCUCUUCCUAUCAGCCAAUUCAUCCUCUCACAUUUAUUAAAUUAAUUCCAAUUUAAGUUCUCUGAUAUUUUAGAGACAAAAUUACGUUUUCCGGUAGUUUAACACAUGAAUGUGAGUUUUACCAAAUAUUUAAGUUUUUUAUGUAACUAAAUAUGAGUAAAGUAGAUAUUUAAGACUAAAUGCACAUAAAUAUGUGUGUGAUUGUCGUUGCAGGCGGGUGGAGGCUCGUCUCUGUGUCCGUUGGAUUAGCAGCACUCAUAAUAAUACUUGUAGUCGUCAACAUGUGGAUUAGAAUUAAAGAGAGGAAAACACAGACGGAAGAAAACGCUGUGCGUUAUGAUGCAGAAGAUGACACAGUGAACUAUGAAAACAUGAGACCUGCUGCUGGAGUUUGAGCAACACGUCUGCAGAUCAGCUCCACCACCAUCUUCAUGGUGUCCCAGCUGCUGAUGUGGAGCCAGAUGUUGUCUUCAUUGGGCUGCUGAGGUCCAAUAUUGAUCAAUCGUUCUCUGUCAUGUGAGCGAGCGACUUGCAGCUGGUGGUUCGUUCUCUCUGGGAACAAAUGACUUCAUUAGUAAAACAUAUUUACACAGACGGGAAUCAGCUGAAACUAAAGUCUGAAUAUGAUCCACAGGAGUGAUGAAGCAUUGUUUGUUUUUUUGUUUGUUUUUAUGA
Non-coding RNA from Gasterosteus aculeatus aculeatus (three-spined stickleback), 903 nucleotides. The record is from RefSeq and is a predicted model, not a curated record. Lineage: Eukaryota; Metazoa; Chordata; Actinopteri; Perciformes; Gasterosteidae.